ACGCCGAAAUGGCUUACCGCAACCUGUCAUCAUAUACAAUAUAAAACAACAAUUUGCCUCGUGAAGUAUAUCCCCUCUUCUCAGUACUUUGUACCUUUACGUCUACUGUUUUAUUUCCAUACCACAAUAUAGUCGUUUGUGCAAGUUAUACAAACAUGUUGCUUAAAUAGAGAGGUGUGCAGCUAUAUAGAAAUUGAUUGCAAACGAUUGCAUUGUAGAUAAUUUUUUAAUAAUCAAAAUUAAUGUUCACCGUUUCAUCACAGACCAGUAUCAUAUCACCAGCCACUCAAAUUUUGGAUUUAAGAGCUCUGGAAAUUUAACGCUUUGUCGACAACGAUGUAACACACUGUAGUCUUGAAUUAAAGAAGAUAGCCGA
This is a long non-coding RNA of Xenia sp. Carnegie-2017, 376 nucleotides long. RefSeq lists it as uncharacterized. The transcript has 3 exons. Lineage: Eukaryota; Metazoa; Cnidaria; Anthozoa; Malacalcyonacea; Xeniidae. The record is from RefSeq and is a predicted model, not a curated record.